UCGCAAAAACUAUGUAUUACCUUCGUUGAGUGUGCACAAGACAUAAGACGUUUUCUUUGAAAAAAAGAGAGUGUUCAAAACAGACCUGCCGCUUGUACACAUGCACAGGGUAUUAUGGUAUAGGAUUGUGGUUUUAUUUUGGUGGUUUAUAAGUCAGAAGUAGUGUUUUAGAGGGACAGGUGGGCGCUUUUGUUUUUCGUUCUCAGAGGUAAAUUUCUGGGAUUUUAGAAAGACGAUCAUCUGAAAACACAUUUCCCAAGAAUGUUCUCUUUUCUCAAGAAAGAAAGUUAGAGGAUAGAAGGCUCUCAGAUCCUGUCAUUGUUCUACCCAUAACAGAUGUAGUAUAGGGAUCAGCGGGCGUUAUAUACGACUUCGUCGGCACCUUACGGGAAAUCAAAGUUUUUGGAUUCCGGGGGAAGUAUGGUUGCAAAGCUGAAACUUAAAGGAAUUGACGGAAGGGCACCACCAGGAGUGGAGCCUGUGGCUUAAUAUGACUCAACACGGGAAAACUUACCAGGUCCGGACAUAGUAAGGAUUGACAGAUUGAUAGCUCUUUCUUGAUUCUAUGGGUGGUGGUGCAUGCCCGUUGUUAGUUGGUGGAGUGAUUUGUCUGGUUAAUUCCGUUAAUGAACGAGACCCCAGCCUGAUAAAUAGUUUGCUUGAUGUUUCAUCGGUGCCAACUUCUUAGAGGGACUAUUCUGUGUAUAACGAAUGGAAGUUUGGGGCAAUAACAGGUCUGUGAUGCCCUUAGAUGUUCUGGGCCGCACACGGGAUACACUGUAAGGUUCAACAAGCUUCAUACUCUGGUCCGAUAGGUCUGGGCAAUCUUUUGAACUCCUUACGUGACAGGGAUAGACUAUUGCAAUUGUUAGUCUUCAACGAGGAAUUUCUAGUAAACGCGAGUCAUCAACUAGCAUAGAUUACGUGCCUGCCCUUUAUACACACCGCCCGUCGCUCCUACCGAUUGGAUGAAUCGAUGAGGGAUUUGGAGAGCGGUCGUGAAACCACUUCGGUGGCGGAACGGCUGCUCAAAAUCAUUCAAAU
This 1044-nucleotide ribosomal RNA is filed under the name uncultured eukaryote. Its description in RNAcentral is "bacterial SSU rRNA". It matches the Rfam family "Eukaryotic small subunit ribosomal RNA", at positions 701 to 1764 of the family's 1831-position model. The record is from RNAcentral.